Molecule: ribosomal RNA, 465 nt
Filed under: uncultured bacterium
Lineage: Bacteria
Description: partial 16S ribosomal RNA
Rfam family: Bacterial small subunit ribosomal RNA
Source: RNAcentral
GACGAACGCUGGCGGCGUGCUUAACACAUGCAAGUCGAACGGAAAGGCCCUGCUUGCAGGGUACUCGAGUGGCGAACGGGUGAGCAACACGUGGGUGAUCUGCCCUGCACUUCGGGAUAAGCCUGGGAAACUGGGUCUAAUACCGGAUAGGAGCCAUUUUUAGUGUGAUGGUUGGAAAGUUUUUUCGGUGUAGGAUGAGCUCGCGGCCUAUCAGCUUGUUGGUGGGGUAAUGGCCUACCAAGGCGGCGACGGGUAGCCGGCCUGAGAGGGUGGACGGCCACAUUGGGACUGAGAUACGGCCCAGACUCCUACGGGAGGCAGCAGUGGGGAAUAUUGCACAAUGGGCGCAAGCCUGAUGCAGCGACGCCGCGUGGGGGAUGACGGCCUUCGGGUUGUAAACUCCUUUCGCUAGGGACGAAGCUUUUUGUGACGGUACCUAGAUAAGAAGCACCGGCUAACUACGAG